AGAGGGCAGAUGAGAGGGAGGAGUAACAAAAGUGAAAACAAAAACUAAAAACUGAAAUAUAUUUGAAAUUGUUUUCAUUUUCAAGUUUUUGUUUUCACUUUUUUGUUACUUCUCCCUCCCAUCCUCCAGUCU
Molecule: microRNA precursor, 132 nt
Filed under: Prunus dulcis (almond)
Lineage: Eukaryota; Viridiplantae; Streptophyta; Magnoliopsida; Rosales; Rosaceae
Description: sRNA ncRNA
Source: RNAcentral